This 460-nucleotide ribosomal RNA is filed under the name uncultured bacterium. RNAcentral describes it as "partial 16S ribosomal RNA". It matches the Rfam family "Bacterial small subunit ribosomal RNA", at positions 338 to 795 of the family's 1533-position model. The record is from RNAcentral.
CCUACGGGUGGCAGCAGUGAGGAAUAUUGGUCAAUGGACGAGAGUCUGAACCAGCCAAGUAGCGUGAAGGAUGACUGCCCUAUGGGUUGUAAACUUCUUUUAUAAAGGAAUAAAACGAGGCACGUGUGCCUUUUUGCAUGUACUUUAUGAAUAAGGAUCGGCUAACUCCGUGCCAGCAGCCGCGGUAAUACGGAGGAUCCGAGCGUUAUCCGGAUUUAUUGGGUUUAAAGGGAGCGUAGAUGGGUUGUUAAGUCAGUUGUGAAAGUUUGCGGCUCAACCGUAAAAGUGCAAUUGAUACUGGCAGUCGUGAGUACAGUUGAGGUAGGCGGAAUUCGUGGUGUAGCGGUGAAAUGCUUAGAUAUCACGAAGAACCCCGAUUGCGAAGGCAGCUUACUAAACUGUGACUGACAUUGAUGCUCGAAAGUGUGGGUAUCAAACAGGAUUAGAUACCCUUGUAGUC